AAUAUUUUCUGCAGACAUACUUCCUAAUAGUUACAAUCUGUUUUUCUGAAGAUGCUUUAAGGCACAAAGAAAAAAUAUACAAACCAUAAACCAGAAUUUUGAAGAUACAUAAGGUUUGAGGCUUCAAAAGGUCAUGUAUUUCUGCAUUUUACUAGUUACCUAGUGUUUUUCCACAUUAAUAUUUUUUCCUCGAAAUUCCG
RNAcentral lists this long non-coding RNA (200 nucleotides) under Trifolium pratense (red clover). RNAcentral's name for it is "long non-coding RNA (TPRA_LNC009056)". Lineage: Eukaryota; Viridiplantae; Streptophyta; Magnoliopsida; Fabales; Fabaceae. The record is from RNAcentral.